AGAUAUAGCUCAGUUGGUAGAGCAUUAUUUAUGUGUAAUAAAUGUCAGCGGUUCGAGUCCGCUUAUCUC
This 69-nucleotide transfer RNA is filed under the name uncultured eukaryote. It matches the Rfam family "tRNA". From Rfam's summary of the family: Transfer RNA (tRNA) molecules are approximately 80 nucleotides in length. The record is from RNAcentral.